RNAcentral lists this long non-coding RNA (446 nucleotides) under Pan troglodytes (chimpanzee). RNAcentral describes it as "lincRNA". Lineage: Eukaryota; Metazoa; Chordata; Mammalia; Primates; Hominidae. The record is from RNAcentral.
GUUGUCUGCCAACGCUAACUGGCCAGCUCUGACAGGAGGUGCGUGGCCCAGGAGGAGCCAUCAGGCCAGUUCUCUGGGAUACUGCUGUGUCUCCAGCUCUGCAGUUUGCUCUGCAUCACUCAGCGGCAGACGGAGAGGCAGACACGAGCCCCUUGUGAGCCCUCCUCCUUACCGUCAUCCCACAAUGCUCUGAAAUAAGGAGGCAAAUGGCUGAGGUCCCCUCAGUUGUAGAUGUGAUUGAGUUCUAUCUACCAGAAGCAUAUGCCUCCUGGAAGCCUGGUUCUAACACCUCCCACAAAAUCCUUCAAGCGCUUUUUUCUGUUCCAAUGUUUGCUUAUGGGGGACCCAGUGAAGUGCUUCAGAGCCCUAGAGAUAUGCUGAGUCAUAUGAGGGGUCAGCAAACUUUUCCUGUAAAGGGUCAGAUAAUAAACAUUUUAAGCUUUGUA